CGAAGUAGUUGUUGUCUCUUCAAGUUGCUCUUGAGGCAUCAAGGUUGGCGAUGCCGGGGCAGGAUCUUUUGCUGAGGGGCCAAGGCCAUCAGUACUUGAUUUUUCGCCAGGCCUCGACAAUUCCAUGUCCAAGGAUUUCCUACAAAAUUGAGAACUCACAAAGCUGAGGAGCAACAACAACGCGAUACAAUAAGCAGUCGUGGAAGAACCAGGAUUACCUGGACAAUCUUCUCA
This 234-nucleotide long non-coding RNA is filed under the name Setaria italica (foxtail millet). RNAcentral describes it as "long non-coding RNA (SITA_LNC003651)". The record is from RNAcentral. Lineage: Eukaryota; Viridiplantae; Streptophyta; Magnoliopsida; Poales; Poaceae.